AAAGCCAAUGAAAGAUGUAUGUAGAUGAAUGUAAAAUACCAUGUAGACAAACAAGAUAAAACUUGGUUAUAAACAUUGGUGUU
Molecule: unclassified non-coding RNA, 83 nt
Filed under: Schizosaccharomyces pombe (fission yeast)
Lineage: Eukaryota; Fungi; Ascomycota; Schizosaccharomycetes; Schizosaccharomycetales; Schizosaccharomycetaceae
Description: non-coding RNA (predicted)
Source: RNAcentral